This 489-nucleotide ribosomal RNA is filed under the name uncultured bacterium. RNAcentral's name for it is "partial 16S ribosomal RNA". It matches the Rfam family "Bacterial small subunit ribosomal RNA", at positions 28 to 507 of the family's 1533-position model. The record is from RNAcentral.
GAUGAACGCUAGCUACAGGCUUAACACAUGCAAGUCGAGGGGCAGCAUGAACUUAGCUUGCUAAGUUUGAUGGCGACCGGCGCACGGGUGAGUAACACGUAUCCAACCUGCCGAUGACUCGGGGAUAGCCUUUCGAAAGAAAGAUUAAUACCCGAUGGCAUAGUUCUUCCGCAUGGUAGAACUAUUAAAGAAUUUCGGUCAUCGAUGGGGAUGCGUUCCAUUAGGUUGUUGGCGGGGUAACGGCCCACCAAGCCUUCGAUGGCUAGGGGUUCUGAGAGGAAGGUCCCCCACAUUGGAACUGAGACACGGUCCAAACUCCUACGGGAGGCAGCAGUGAGGAAUAUUGGUCAAUGGACGAGAGUCUGAACCAGCCAAGUAGCGUGAAGGAUGACUGCCCUAUGGGUUGUAAACUUCUUUUAUACGGGAAUAAAGUGAGGCACGUGUGCCUUUUUGUAUGUACCGUAUGAAUAAGGAUCGGCUAACUCCGUG